Molecule: ribosomal RNA, 286 nt
Filed under: uncultured bacterium
Lineage: Bacteria
Description: partial 16S ribosomal RNA
Rfam family: Bacterial small subunit ribosomal RNA
Source: RNAcentral
CGGGGAGCGUUCGCGCUUCCGCCGGCGACCGGCGCACGGGUGAGUAACACGUAUGGAACCUGCCGCAGCAGGGGGAUAAUCGGGGGAAACCCCGUCUAAUACCGCGUAACGACCCGGAGGGGCAUCCCUUCGGGUCCAAAGGUUUACCGGCUGCGGAUGGCCAUGCGUCGCAUUAGCUGGUUGGCGGGGUAACGGCCCACCAAGGCGACGAUGCGUAGGGGUUCUGAGAGGAAGGUCCCCCACACUGGUACUGAGACACGGACCAGACUCCUACGGGAGGCAGCAG